Molecule: unclassified non-coding RNA, 390 nt
Filed under: Hevea brasiliensis (rubber tree)
Lineage: Eukaryota; Viridiplantae; Streptophyta; Magnoliopsida; Malpighiales; Euphorbiaceae
Source: RNAcentral
GGAAAAUUGGGCGUCUGGACAACAUUGUUGAUGGUAAUAAUGGUAGUACAACCCUCGUCCGUUAAACUAGACAACAUAUUCCACAAAGCAGGCAGUAUAAGAAGAAUCUGAUAGUGAGCUCAAUCAAAAAGGGGGUUUUCAGGAAGGGAAGGGGAAAGUUAUGCAGAAGAAGAACUAAGUACCCGAAUUCUUAGAUUUUGGUCAAUCACCAAACAAAUAACACGCAAAAUCGUCGAUGCAGGUUGAAGAAGUUACAGAAUCUGAGCAGCCGUAUUCAACUUUUCAGCCAAACUCAGUUGUGUCCGGGUGAUACUUGACAAAUACAGCAACAGCAAAUGGUCCUGCACGUUGUCAUUCAUCAGCUUAUCAAAAGCAGCUGGCGACAGUUUU